RNAcentral lists this long non-coding RNA (924 nucleotides) under Marmota monax (woodchuck). The record is from RNAcentral. Lineage: Eukaryota; Metazoa; Chordata; Mammalia; Rodentia; Sciuridae.
CCUCUGGCCAAGAUGGCAUUGAUCAUUAUCUUUAGUUCCUUCAUUUACUUUCCAGGAAGAAAGCAAAAGGCAAUGUCUUGGAUGAAUGAAUGAAUGAAUGAAUGAAUGAAUUCAGAUUUUUGGACACCUCAAACCAGAAAAACUUAAGAACUAUAUCUCUAGGCUCCCAGAGAAAUUGUUGACUCAUCUUCAAACACUUCAAGAGGAAAGCUCAAAAAAGGUUUAAAGUCCCACAAAAUGCACUCAGCCAGUUGGAGUUUAAUACCAGGUUUACCUUCAAAUUUGUAUACUUGAAGCAAAAUUAUGGAAAUCCUUCAGUAAUUUAUUACAGAUUUGAUUUUCAUUAUUUUUGUGUUUCAUUGUAUGAAGAAGACUUUUGCAUUCAUGGUCUUCUUUGGGACCCUGACUUGGACAUAUCUCAGACUAUUCCUUUGUCUGUGAUUAGACUCUUCCUUUGUCUGUGGCUAGCCUAUUCCUUUGUCUAUGGCUAGAACAUAACCACAUGGACACUUCUCAUCCAUGACAAUGUUAAAUGACCAAUAACUGCAGAAGAAAGGAUUUCAAAUGCUGACUGAAUUUCUUCAAGCUUCUUCUAAAAAACAUCCUUCUUUUGGUCCAUGGAGGAGGCCUCCCUGAAUGUGGAGGCCAGUUAUACCCAGAUUGCUUACUUCCCUGGCCCAUGGCUGACAUGGCCCACAUUCACCUUUGGCAGUUUUAUAAUUCUUGCUCUAAAUUCCUUUUUACUAGCUUCUAAUGGUUAGAGACUGUCAACACUCCUUGGAAUAGGAACAUGAUCUUCAGAAAAGACUGACUCUUUGAAACCUUUGAUACAUUCUUGAGGUAGGACCAUUUAGCCUCAUGUAGGACUAAAUCAGCAGUAGUGCUUGAUUGAGGUACUGCUUGUAUUGAAGGGACACACUCCAC